This 457-nucleotide ribosomal RNA is filed under the name Micromoema xiphophora. Its description in RNAcentral is "Micromoema xiphophorus partial 16S ribosomal RNA". It matches the Rfam family "Bacterial large subunit ribosomal RNA", at positions 1926 to 2551 of the family's 2925-position model. The record is from RNAcentral. Lineage: Eukaryota; Metazoa; Chordata; Actinopteri; Cyprinodontiformes; Rivulidae.
AACGGCCGCGGUAUCCUAACCGUGCAAAGGUAGCAUAAUCAUUUGUCUUUUAAUUGAAGACCUGUAUGAAUGGCGCAACGAGGGCUUUACUGUCUCACUCUCUCCGUCAAUAAAAUUGAUCUUCUUGUGCAGAAGCAAGAAUAAUAACGUAAGACGAAAAGACCCUAUGGAGCUUUAGAAUAAAGAAACAGCUAAAAAUAACCCAAAAUCCUACUAGCCCCGUCUCUUUUAUUCUUCGGUUGGGGCGACCUUGGAGAAAAACAAAACCUCCAUGAAUAUAUAAAAUAUCACCAAACUUGAAACAACAACUCUAGCUCACAGAAUACCUGUUACUAAGAUCCGGAAAAAUUACCGAUUAACGAAACAAGUUACCCUAGGGAUAACAGCGCAAUCCCCUCUUAGAGCCCCUAUCGAAAAAGGGGUUUACGACCUCGAUGUUGGAUCAGGACAUCCUGAU